CCAGGUAGUUUAUAUCCAGGUAGUUUAUCUUUAUAUCUAUGCAGUUUAUAUCUAGGUAGUUUAUCUUAAUAUCUAGGUAGUUUAUCUUUAUAUAUAGGUAGUUUAUAUGAUGUAGUUUAUCUUUAUAUCUAGGUAGUUUAUAUCUAUAUAGUUUAUCUUUAUAUCUAGGUAGUUUAUAUCUAGGUACUUUAUAUUUAUAUCUAGGUAGUUUAUAUCUAGGUAGUUUAUAUUUAUAUCUAUAUAGUUUAUAUCUAGGUAGUUUAUAUCUACAUAAUUUAUCUUUAUAUCUAGGUAGUUCAUAUCUAGGUAGUUUAUAUUUAUAUCUGGGUAGUUUAUCUUUAUAACUAGGUAGUUCCUAUCCAGGUAGUUUAUCUUUAUAUCAAGGUAGUUUAUCUUUAUAUCUAGGUAGUUUAUCUAUAUAUAUCUACAUAGUUUAUCUUUAUAUCUUGGUAGUUUAUCUUUAUAACUAGGUAGUUUAUAUCCAGGUAGUUUAUCUAUAUAUAUCUAUAUAGUUUAUCUUUAUAUCCAGAUAGUUUAUCUUUAUAUCUAGGUAGUUUAUAUCUACGUAGUUUAUAUCUAUAUAAUUUAUCUGUAUAUCUAUGUAGUUUAUAUCUACGUAGUUUAUAUCUAUAUAAUUUAUCUUUAUAUCUAGGUAGUUUAUCUUUAUAUCUACGUAGUUUAUAUCUACAUAGUUUAUAUCUAGGUAGUUUAUAUCUACGUAGUUUAUAUCUACGUAGUUUAUAUCUAUAUAAUUUAUCUUU
This is a long non-coding RNA of Oncorhynchus tshawytscha (Chinook salmon), 761 nucleotides long. The record is from Ensembl. Lineage: Eukaryota; Metazoa; Chordata; Actinopteri; Salmoniformes; Salmonidae.